UGUCCAGGGGGCCGCCUUCGCCACCGGUAUUCCUCCAGAUCUCUACGCAUUUCACCGCUACACCUGGAAUUCUACCCCCCUCUACAAGACUCUAGCCUGCCAGUUUCGAAUGCAGUUCCCAGGUUGAGCCCGGGGAUUUCACAUCCGACUUGACAGACCGCCUGCGUGCGCUUUACGCCCAGUAAUUCCGAUUAACGCUUGCACCCUCCGUAUUACCGCGGCUGCUGGCACGGAGUUAGCCGGUGCUUCUUCUGCGGGUAACGUCAAUCGAUGAGGUUAUUAACCUCACCGCCUUCCUCCCCGCUGAAAGUGCUUUACAACCCGAAGGCCUUCUUCACACACGCGGCAUGGCUGCAUCAGGCUUGCGCCCAUUGUGCAAUAUUCCCCACUGCUGCCUCCCGUAGGAGUCUGGACCGUGUCUCAGUUCCAGUGUGGCUGGUCAUCCUCUCAGACCAGCUAGGGAUCGUCGCCUAGGUGAGCCGUUACCCCACCUACUAGCUAAUCCCAUCUGGGCACAUCUGAUGGCAUGAGGCCCGAAGGUCCCCCACUUUGGUCUUGCGACGUUAUGCGGUAUUAGCUACCGUUUCCAGUAGUUAUCCCCCUCCAUCAGGCAGUUUCCCAGACAUUACUCACCCGUCCGCCGCUCGUCACCCGAGAGCAAGCUCUCUGUGCUACCGCUCGACUUGCAUGUGUUAGGCCUGCCGCCAGCGUCAUCUG
Molecule: ribosomal RNA, 717 nt
Filed under: Klebsiella variicola
Lineage: Bacteria; Pseudomonadati; Pseudomonadota; Gammaproteobacteria; Enterobacterales; Enterobacteriaceae
Description: partial 16S rRNA
Source: RNAcentral